UAGAGUUAUAAACUCCAAAACCCAUGUGUAUCUUACCAUUUGUUGCCUCGGCGGGGUUACCCUCAACCCGUAAAACCGCCGAAGGCCCCUUAAACUCUGUUUAUUUUUAGAAAUCUGAGCGUCUUAUUUAAUAAGUCA
This 138-nucleotide unclassified non-coding RNA is filed under the name uncultured Xylariales. RNAcentral's name for it is "sequence contains ITS1". Lineage: Eukaryota; Fungi; Ascomycota; Sordariomycetes; Xylariales. The record is from RNAcentral.